AGAUUGAACGCUGGCGGCAUGCCUUACACAUGCAAGUCGAACGGUAGAGUAGCAAUACUUGAGAGUGGCGAACGGGUGAGUAAUAUAUCGGAACGUGCCCAGUCGUGGGGGAUAACGUAGAGAAAUUUACGUUAAUACCGCAUACGAUCUAAGGAUGAAAGCGGGGGACCGUAAGGCCUCGCGCGAUUGGAGCGGCUGAUAUCAGAUUAGGUUGUUGGUGAGGUAAAAGCUCACCAAGCCGACGAUCUGUAGCUGGUUUGAGAGAACGACCAGCCACACUGGGACUGAGACACGGCCCAGACUCCGU
This 307-nucleotide ribosomal RNA is filed under the name uncultured soil bacterium. RNAcentral's name for it is "bacterial SSU rRNA". It matches the Rfam family "Bacterial small subunit ribosomal RNA", at positions 26 to 341 of the family's 1533-position model. The record is from RNAcentral.